GAUGAAGAACGUAGCGAAAUGCGAUAAGUAAUGUGAAUUGCAGAAUUCAGUGAAUCAUCGAAUCUUUGAACGCACAUUGCGCCCGCCAGUAUUCUGGCGGGCAUGCCUGUUCGAGCGUCAUUUCAACCAUCAAGCCCCAGGCUUGUGUUGGAGCCCUGCGGCUGCCGCAGCCUCCCAAAACCAGUGGCGGGCUCGCUAUCACACCGAGUGCAGUAGUUUACUCUUCGCUCAGGGCGUGUGGCGGGUGCUAGCCGUAAAACCCCCAACUUCUCAAGGUUGACCUCGGAUCGGGUAGGAAUACCCGCUGAACUUAAGCAUAUCAAUAAGCGGAGGA
Molecule: unclassified non-coding RNA, 334 nt
Filed under: soil metagenome
Description: partial contains 5.8S ribosomal RNA, internal transcribed spacer 2, and large subunit ribosomal RNA
Rfam family: 5.8S ribosomal RNA (bases 1-120)
Source: RNAcentral